UUCGUGUGAACAGUGGUUGAUCACGAGUUAGUCGGUCCUAAGUUCAAGGCGAAAGCCGAAAAUUUUCAAGUAAUAAUAUUUAAUCAUGAUAAUAUAUAAUAUAUAUUUGUUUGGCUAUAUUUUAUACACUUGAAUAAUUUUGAACGAAAGGGAAUACGGUUCCAAUUCCGUAACCUGUUGAGUAUCCGUUUGUUAUUAAAUAUGGGCCUCGUGCUCAUCCUGGUAACAGGAACGACCAUAAAGAAGCCGUCGAGAGAUAUCGGAAGAGUUUUCUUUUCUGUUUUAUAGCCGUACUACCAUGGAAGUCUUUCGCAGAGAGAUAUGGUAGAUGGGCUAGAAGAGCAUGACAUAUACUGUUGUGUCGAUAUUUUCUCCUCGGACCUUGAAAAUUUAUGGUGGGGAUACGCAAACUUCUCAACAGGCCGUACCAAUAUCCGCAGCUGGUCUCCAAGGUGAAGAGUCUCUAGUCGAUAAAAUA
This 478-nucleotide ribosomal RNA is filed under the name Dichaetophora harpophallata. RNAcentral's name for it is "partial 28S ribosomal RNA". It matches the Rfam family "Eukaryotic large subunit ribosomal RNA", at positions 1508 to 1897 of the family's 3401-position model. The record is from RNAcentral. Lineage: Eukaryota; Metazoa; Arthropoda; Insecta; Diptera; Drosophilidae.